CAAGUCUGGUGCCAGCAGCCGCGGUAAUUCCAGCUCCAAUAGCGUAUAUUAAAGUUGUUGCAGUUAAAAAGCUCGUAGUUGAUUUUCUGUUAAUUUUUAUGUAUAAUAUUGCGAUAUUUACAUAAUAUUAACAUAAUUCACAUUACUUUAYRGUAUGUGGAAUUUUACUUUGAGAAAAUUAGAGUGCUUAAAGCAGGCUAUUGCCUUGAAUACUCCAGCAUGGAAUAAUAUUAAGGAUUUUUAUUCUUCUUAUUGGUUCUAGAAUAAAAAUAAUGAUUAAUAGGAACAGUUGGGGGCAUUUGUAUUUAACAGUUAGAGGUGAAAUUCUUAGAUUUGUUAAAGACAAACUACUGCGAAAGCAUUUGCCAAGGAUGUUUUCAUUAAUCAAGAACGAAAGUUAGGGGAUCGAAGACGAUCAGAUACCGUCGUAGUCUUAACCAUAAACUAUGCCAACUAGAGAUUGGAGGUUGUUCCUUACUCCUUC
This 484-nucleotide ribosomal RNA is filed under the name Cryptosporidium scrofarum. RNAcentral describes it as "SSU rRNA". Lineage: Eukaryota; Apicomplexa; Conoidasida; Eucoccidiorida; Cryptosporidiidae. The record is from RNAcentral.